CACCUAAACCUAAUUAUUUUUUAAUUAAGCAUGGUGCUAAAUCCGCUAUAGAGACGAGAGCUCCUCGUCACAAUACUGUAGCGGUCAGUAGCCGAAAGGUUGCUGGGGAAUCUGAAAGGAUAACC
The submitters of this non-coding RNA (125 nucleotides) gave its source as unclassified sequences. The record is from Rfam.